RNAcentral lists this ribosomal RNA (2085 nucleotides) under Triticum aestivum (bread wheat). RNAcentral describes it as "partial small subunit ribosomal RNA". The record is from RNAcentral. Lineage: Eukaryota; Viridiplantae; Streptophyta; Magnoliopsida; Poales; Poaceae.
AUGCCCGACCAUCCUUCUCCGUGUGGCCGCCACCCCCAAAUCCUGCUGGAUCGAAGAUGUUUAGUGGGCCAGUUGAAAAAUUCCACCACCGCAAAAUCCAAGAACAGCAAAGGGGUUCAUUUGGAGGUUUCUUUUGAAGCAGCUGACCCUCCAGCCAUCUCACUGUGCCUGGUCAGUUGCGUUGAUCAGACCGGGGAUCGCUUGGCAGCACAGCCUCGUAUACUUGGCGUAACUGGAGGCUUUGUACUGCUGGCUAUCACCUUCUCGGACAGUGUCAACCCUUACUUGCGGUUCAUCGACUAUUUUGUUUACAAAGCAGGGCCGGAUUUCGCCUCUCUUCAUCUUCUUGCAAGGCCAUAUCCAUCUUCUUUUUCGCCAAAUUUGGCUGCCAUCUUGCCGGUUUGUGAUAACAGUGAAGACUUUGCUGUCAUUUUUCCUCAUGUUGAAUAUUUCAGACUUGAGUCUCGCAAACAUUACACACUCCACAUAUAUCGAUCCGACACGAAUGAUUGGCACUCUCAGGUCGCUUGUAUCGCUGAGGAUGAUGAGACAAGGAAUGCCAGGGAUAAGCUAUUGCUUCAUAAUACCAUGAGCGUAGCAUAUGCAGAAAAGGGUAUCAUAGGUUGGAUUGAUCUCUGGUGGGGAAUUCUCUUAUGCAAUGUUUUGGAUAAAAAGCCUACCAUCCGUUUUGUUCCGUUGCCAGUUCCGGAACCGUGUGAUACGUCUGAGUUCCAUUUGAUGUUCGAGAAUCUCACUCCAAGACCACACCGUCAUGUGACGAUAUUCAAUGAUUUGAUCAAGUGUGUUGAGUUAGAUUUUCAUGUGCAAGAUGCUUUCUGCAACAUGAAGCGAGCAAAGGAUUAUGGCUGGAUAGCUAAAACAUGGACUAGAUCAAUUUAUUCAGAUGUUUGGUGUGAUGGCUUGACGAUUGAUACGUCUGAGAUAUCUUUCACCGACUCAAGUUUGCCGAAUUUGUUGCCUGGGAUGUUUGAUGAGGAAAACAAUUUGACUUGGAAGAAAUUGACUAGUGCUGGUCCUACAUUAAGCUUGCUUGAUGACAAUGUUAUUUACAUUAUGGCGAAGGAGAGCAUGUGCCAUCCGACAGCAUAUGUACUUACUGUGGACACCAAAAGUUUGAAGCUCGAGUCUGGUGCGCAGUGUGCUCCUCAAAAGACGGCGUGGUUCGAACCAACAUAUGAACCAUGUGUUCUUUUUAGCUCUUUUGGCACGACUUCAGAGUUGGUUAAAGAAUUUGAAACCAAAGGGACAAUAUUUGAAAUCAAGGAAGGGCCGGUGCUCUCGGUGGUGUCGAAGCGUCUCCGUGUGCUGCGGAAGAAGCAGAAUCGCAUCGCGCAGAUGGAGGAGUCCGUCGCUGCCGGCAAGAUGCUUAACCAGGAGCAGAAGGAGCUCAUGCACUCCAAGCCCGUCAUCGCCGCGCUCAUUGACGAGCUUGAGCGCCUCCGCGUACCACUCUCCACCGCUCUCACCCAGGAGCUCUCCACCGUCCCUGCACCUGCUGCCGGUUCCUCAUCCUUUGGCUCCGAUUUGUCCAUCCAGGACCUCCUCGCACUCAUCUACUUCGGCUCCCUUUUUUAUGUCAAGUCACCGAACGAGUUCAUCGCCACCAUGGUUGCGCGCAAGCACGAACGGAGCAGCUGCAUCACCCACGGCUACGUAUGGGAUGAUACCGUGGACCUGCUCGUGGAGAACGACCUUGACGCAGUGUCUGCUGUGGCGGCCCUUGCCGCGGCUCGCCCUUCUUCCGCAGAUGGUGUCUCCCACCACGACGCACUCCAGGCCUGUGUCCAUCAUGCCCGCCUAUGGCUAACCCGUGCUGAUGCGCCGAUCCACCCUGGCUCCUCUGUUACAUAUGCUGCGGUGAGGUCCAAGUUAGACAGGAUCAUGGCAUCAGACUACUACACAGCACCUGCAGUUGCUGGGAACCAUGGAGCUGAAGGUCUGCAGGCACAGAUGAGCAUGACCGACUCACCAGAGGGACCAUCACUCAAGGAGAUCCUAGCUGCUGAAAAUCACAAGUUUGUGGAGCAAGCAAUGCUUGCAGAAGAAGAUGAGUGGACCACCUGA